UGGCGAACGGGUGAGUAACACGUGGGUAAUCUGCCCUGCACUCUGAGAUAAGCCUGGGAAACUGGGUCUAAUACUGGAUAUGACCUUUCUCCUUAUGGGGUUUGGUGGAAAGUUUUUCGGUGUAGGAUGAGCCCGCGGCCUAUCAGCUUGUUGGUGGGGUGAUGGCCUACCAAGGCGACGACGGGUAGCCGGCCUGAGAGGGUGAUCGGCCACAUUGGGACUGAGAUACGGCCCAG
RNAcentral lists this ribosomal RNA (236 nucleotides) under uncultured Actinomycetales bacterium. Its description in RNAcentral is "partial 16S ribosomal RNA". It matches the Rfam family "Bacterial small subunit ribosomal RNA", at positions 96 to 334 of the family's 1533-position model. The record is from RNAcentral. Lineage: Bacteria; Bacillati; Actinomycetota; Actinomycetes; Actinomycetales.